RNAcentral lists this long non-coding RNA (126 nucleotides) under Mustela putorius furo (domestic ferret). Its description in RNAcentral is "lncRNA (ENSMPUG00000028892.1)". The record is from RNAcentral. Lineage: Eukaryota; Metazoa; Chordata; Mammalia; Carnivora; Mustelidae.
GGAGGUUCCCCAAGAAAUAUGAUCCAGCAAUCCCAAUUCUAGAUAUAUAUCUAAAGGAAACAAAAACCAUUAUCCCAAAAAGAGACUACAAAGCCAAUCAAGAGAACUUCUGAAGCACAACAAAAG